GAAAUGCGAUAAGUAAUGUGAAUUGCAGAAUUCAGUGAAUCAUCGAAUCUUUGAACGCACAUUGCGCCCGCCAGUAUUCUGGCGGGCAUGCCUGUUCGAGCGUCAUUUCAACCAUCAAGCCCCCGGCUUGUGUUGGGGACCUGCGGCUGCCCGCAGGCCCUGAAAAACAGUGGCGGGCUCGCUGUCACACCGAGCGUAGUAGCAUACAUUCUCGCUCAGGGCGUGCUGCGGGUUCCGGCCGUUAAACGACCUUCAUAACCCAAGGUUGACCUCGGAUCAGGUAGGAAGACCCGCUAAACUUAAGC
This 305-nucleotide unclassified non-coding RNA is filed under the name plant metagenome. RNAcentral's name for it is "partial contains 5.8S ribosomal RNA, internal transcribed spacer 2, and large subunit ribosomal RNA". The stretch from base 1 to 105 matches the Rfam family "5.8S ribosomal RNA", at positions 50 to 154 of the family's 154-position model. The record is from RNAcentral.